RNA transcript from Homo sapiens (human), 556 nucleotides. RefSeq lists it as uncharacterized. The record is from RefSeq and is a predicted model, not a curated record. NCBI's taxonomy places the organism in Eukaryota, Metazoa, Chordata, Mammalia, Primates, Hominidae. The transcript has a single exon.
AUGGUGCGCGCGUCUCGGGCUCCGGGCCGGGCAGCUGAGGGGCGGCGGGCGCGCUCCCGACACAGCCGACGCCUGCCGAGCGCGCAGUGGCGAGAACCUAGCUCUCCUGGUCGCGCACCCCGGACGGACUGGGCGGACAGACUCCACGGUGCGCGGGUUCCACGAGUUCGAGUCUCUCCUCUGCAGGCCCACGAACCUGAACAGAACGCGAGCCGGGGCCGCGGGCGCGCCGGCCUCCUUUCAGUGCGCCCGCCUCGCCUCCAGACGUGCCGUCUCGCCAGCUGCCUCAGCAGCGCUCGGACUCAGCGGGACUCUGCCCCGACUCGGUGCCGGAGCUUCUGUCCUUUGCGCUCCGCCCCCUAGGGACAAGACCUCCCCAGAGCGCUUUCCGAAACAGACACAGCGCUGCUCACACACACACACACACACACACACACACACAAUGCCCCGCGCGGUGCCCGCUCGCCCGCCCACCCGCCCUCGGUUUCGAUGCGCCCGGAGCGAUCCUCCUUCCCUCUCCUCGGGGGAGGGUGGGUCACUUCGCGGCGCUCGGUGA